This 468-nucleotide ribosomal RNA is filed under the name uncultured bacterium. RNAcentral describes it as "bacterial SSU rRNA". It matches the Rfam family "Bacterial small subunit ribosomal RNA", at positions 331 to 795 of the family's 1533-position model. The record is from RNAcentral.
CCAGACUCCUACGGGAGGCAGCAGUGAGGAAUAUUGGUCAAUGGGCGCAAGCCUGAACCAGCCAAGUCGCGUGAGGGAAGACGGCCCUACGGGUUGUAAACCUCUUUUGCCGGGGAGCAAGCCUGAGCACGUGUGCCCAGGCGGAGAGUACCCGGAGAAAAAGCAUCGGCUAACUCCGUGCCAGCAGCCGCGGUAAUACGUAGGGGGCAAGCGUUAUCCGGAUUUACUGGGUGUAAAGGGAGCGUAGACGGUGCGCCAAGACUGGAGUGAAAUGCCGCAGCUUAACUGCGGAACUGCUUUGGAAACUGGCGAACUAGAGUGCGGGAGGGGUAAGCGGAAUUCCUAGUGUAGCGGUGAAAUACGUAGAUAUUAGGAGGAACACCGGUGGCGAAGGCGGCGUACUGGACCGUAACUGACGUUGAGGCUCGAAAGCGUGGGGAGCAAACAGGAUUAGAUACCCCUGUAGAA